RNAcentral lists this ribosomal RNA (253 nucleotides) under uncultured bacterium. RNAcentral describes it as "partial 16S ribosomal RNA". It matches the Rfam family "Bacterial small subunit ribosomal RNA", at positions 524 to 776 of the family's 1533-position model. The record is from RNAcentral.
UACGUAGGGUGCGAGCGUUGUCCGGAAUUAUUGGGCGUAAAGAGCUUGUAGGCGGUUUGUCGCGUCUGCCGUGAAAAUCCGAGGCUCAACCUCGGACUUGCGGUGGGUACGGGCAGACUAGAGUGUGGUAGGGGAGACUGGAAUUCCUGGUGUAGCGGCGAAAUGCGCAGAUAUCAGGAGGAACACCGAUGGCGAAGGCAGGUCUCUGGGCCACUACUGACGCUGAGAAGCGAAAGCAUGGGGAGCGAACAGG